This 797-nucleotide ribosomal RNA is filed under the name uncultured bacterium. RNAcentral describes it as "bacterial SSU rRNA". It matches the Rfam family "Bacterial small subunit ribosomal RNA", at positions 8 to 796 of the family's 1533-position model. The record is from RNAcentral.
AGAGUUUGAUCCUGGCUCAGGAUGAACGCUAGCGGCAGGCUUAAUACAUGCAAGUCGUGGGGCAGCAGGUCUGUAGCAAUACAGAUGCUGGCGACCGGCAAACGGGUGCGGAACACGUACGCAACCUUCCUUUAAGUGGGGAAUAGCCCGGGGAAACCCGGAUUAAUACCCCGUAAUAUUAUGAAGUGGCAUCGCUUUAUAAUUAUAGCUCCGGCGCUUAAAGAUGGGCGUGCGCCUGAUUAGGUAGUUGGCGGGGUAAUGGCCCACCAAGCCUACGAUCAGUAACUGGUGUGAGAGCACGACCAGUCACACGGGCACUGAGACACGGGCCCGACUCCUACGGGAGGCAGCAGUAAGGAAUAUUGGGCAAUGGACGCAAGUCUGACCCAGCCAUGCCGCGUGGAGGAUGAAGGUCCUCUGGAUUGUAAACUUCUUUUAUCUGAGAAGAAACCCGGAAAUUCUUUUCCGGUUGACGGUACCAGAUGAAUAAGCACCGGCUAACUCCGUGCCAGCAGCCGCGGUAAUACGGAGGGUGCAAGCGUUAUCCAGAUUCACUGGGUUUAAAGGGUGCGUAGGUGGGUUGGUAAGUCCGUGGUGAAAUCUCCGAGCUUAACUCGGAAACUGCCGUGGAUACUAUCAAUCUUGAAUACUGUGGAGGUAAGCGGAAUAUGUCAUGUAGCGGUGAAAUGCUUAGAUAUGACAUAGAACACCGAUAGCGAAGGCAGCUUGCUACACAGUCAUUGACACUGAGGCACGAAAGCGUGGGGAGCAAACAGGAUUAGAUACCCUAGUAGUCC